Molecule: ribosomal RNA, 1036 nt
Filed under: Haloechinothrix alba
Lineage: Bacteria; Bacillati; Actinomycetota; Actinomycetes; Pseudonocardiales; Pseudonocardiaceae
Description: Pseudonocardineae bacterium YIM 93221 Bacterial large subunit ribosomal RNA
Rfam family: Bacterial large subunit ribosomal RNA
Source: Rfam by way of RNAcentral
GAGCGACUGUUUACUAAAAACACAGGUCCAUGCGAAGAAGCAAUUCGAUGUAUAUGGACUGACGCCUGCCCGGUGCUGGAACGUUAAGAGGACCCGUUAGCUCCCCUCGAGGGGGCGAAGCGGAGAAUUUAAGCGCCAGUAAACGGCGGUGGUAACUAUAACCAUCCUAAGGUAGCGAAAUUCCUUGUCGGGUAAGUUCCGACCUGCACGAAUGGCGCAACGACUCUCCGGCUGUCUCAACCACAGGCCCGGCGAAAUUGCACUACGAGUAAAGAUGCUCGUUACGCGCGGCAGGACGGAAAGACCCCGGGACCUUUACUACAGCUUGGUAUUGGUUUUCGGUUCGGCUUGUGUAGGAUAGGUGGGAGACUAGGAUAUCUCGACGCCAGUCGGGGUGGAGUCAUCGUUGAAAUACCACUCUGGUCGAAUGGAGAAUCUCAACCUCGGACCAUGAUCUGGUUCAGGGACAGUGCCUGGUGGGUAGUUUAACUGGGGCGGUUGCCUCCCAAAGAGUAACGGAGGCGCCCAAAGGUUCCCUCAGCCUGGUUGGAAAUCAGGUAUCGAGUGCAAGUGCACAAGGGAGCUUGACUGUGAGACCGACGGGUCGAGCAGGAGCGAAAGCUGGGACUAGUGAUCCGGCACCACCUGGUGGAAGGGGUGUCGCUCAACGGAUAAAAGGUACCCCGGGGAUAACAGGCUUAUCUUGCCCAAGAGUCCAUAUCGACGGCAUGGUUUGGCACCUCGAUGUCGGCUCGUCGCAUCCUGGGGCCGGAGUUGGUCCCAAGGGUUGGGCUGUUCGCCCAUUAAAGCGGCACGCGAGCUGGGUUUAGAACGUCGUGAGACAGUUCGGUCCCUAUCCGCCGCGCGCGCAGGAGACUUGAGGAAACCUGUCCCUAGUACGAGAGGACCGGGACGGACGAACCUCUGGUGUGCCAGUUGUCCCGCCAGGGGCACGGCUGGUUAGCUACGUUCGGAAGGGAUAACCGCUGAAGGCAUCUAAGCGGGAAGCCCGUUCCAAGAUGAGGUCUCCCACCCC